UCUAAUCUACUGAGAUGUUGUUAUGUGUAU
RNAcentral lists this non-coding RNA (30 nucleotides) under Rattus norvegicus (Norway rat). Lineage: Eukaryota; Metazoa; Chordata; Mammalia; Rodentia; Muridae. The record is from RNAcentral.